This 115-nucleotide ribosomal RNA is filed under the name Danio rerio (zebrafish). The record is from RNAcentral. Lineage: Eukaryota; Metazoa; Chordata; Actinopteri; Cypriniformes; Danionidae.
GCCGGCAGCUAGCUCUCUGCAAAUCUCACAUGGUCGCCCACUAAAGCUAAGCAGUGCUGCACAUGGUCGUUACCUGGAUGGUAGACCACAUGGGAAAGCUAGGUUGUUGCCAGAA